RNAcentral lists this transfer RNA (67 nucleotides) under Notothenia rossii (marbled rockcod). RNAcentral's name for it is "tRNA-Cys". Lineage: Eukaryota; Metazoa; Chordata; Actinopteri; Perciformes; Nototheniidae. The record is from RNAcentral.
AGCCCUGAAGUGUUUCACAUGUUAGAUUGCAAAUCUGAAGUAGCAGACUAACAGUCUACCGGGGUUU